This 514-nucleotide long non-coding RNA is filed under the name Homo sapiens (human). The record is from RNAcentral. Lineage: Eukaryota; Metazoa; Chordata; Mammalia; Primates; Hominidae.
ACGCCUGUGAUCCCAGUGCUUUGGGAGGCCUAGGCAGAAAGAUCUCUUGGGGCCAGGAGUUCAAGACUAGUCUGGGCAACAUGGUGCGACACCUGUCUCUACAAAAAAUUUAAAAAUUAGCCAAGUGUGGUGGCACACAUCUGUAGUCCCAGUGACUCAGGAGGCUGAAGCAGAAGAAUCACUUGAGCCCAGGAGGUCAAGACUGCAAUGAGCUAUGAUCACUCCACUGCACUCCAGCCUGGGCAACACAGCGAGACUCUGUCUCAACAAAAAAAAAAAAAAAAAAGGAGAGAGAGAAAGGCAUUUAUGAGCUCUCUCUCAAAAAGGAAACUGAGGCUCAGAGAAGGCAUGAGGACUUGCUGCUUCCCCAGCUCAUCAAGAUGGGGAAACUGAGGCACAAAGAAUCUAACUUGCACAAGUUCAUCUGCUUAGUGAUGGAACAAAGAUGUGAAUUCAGGCAGUCUGGCUUCAAAGUCCACACGCCUAACAACCACACCAGAUUACUAGAUUGCUU